This is a non-coding RNA of Ixodes scapularis (black-legged tick), 71 nucleotides long. The record is from Rfam. NCBI's taxonomy places the organism in Eukaryota, Metazoa, Arthropoda, Arachnida, Ixodida, Ixodidae.
UCCUGGUGAGCUCAGUUGUUAGAGCACUCCGCUGGAGAUGGAGAGGUCACUGGUUCGAAACCGACCAGGCG